CUAUGACCUAGACCCAAGGGGUGGUCUUGCUGUCUACUGGGACGAGUGUUGCACAUCAAUUAAUAUAAUCAAGAAAAUCCCUACAGACACUAUCACAGGUCAACCUUUUCUAUGCAGUUGAUCCCCAUUGAAACUCUCUUCCCAGGAGCACAGAGUAGCAUGAGGGAGAUACUUCAAAAUAUCUUUAAAGAAGCAUGAAAAGAGAGUCUCCAAGAUGCCUGGCUUUGAAAUACGUAAUUGAACAGAGACUAGAAGUGGAGUCUAUUGAAAUGAACCUACACAGUGGAGAUAAAGCUCUGAGUACUUUAUAAAGACAGCCUACCUGACAUAUGGUGGACCCUUCCAACAUGGAAUUGAAAUAGUCAAAUUAAGAUGAACUGCAGAGGCUGCAAGGAAAACAAAUAAGAUAACAUCUGCAACUGACCCAAUUCUACUCAAGUCUAGCUUGGUGAUCAAUGAGUUUAAUUGAAAUUACUGACAAGAGCAUGAUCAACUUACAAAUUGCUAUACCACUGAAAAAAAACAUUACUCCCUCCCUUAGUGGCCACUAACCACAUUUGUACUUGUGAGGGCAACAAACUCUUUAGCUCCUUCUCUUC
Mastomys coucha (southern multimammate mouse) is the source of this 599-nucleotide long non-coding RNA. RefSeq lists it as uncharacterized. NCBI's taxonomy places the organism in Eukaryota, Metazoa, Chordata, Mammalia, Rodentia, Muridae. The transcript is spliced from 4 exons. The record is from RefSeq and is a predicted model, not a curated record.